Molecule: unclassified non-coding RNA, 380 nt
Filed under: uncultured bacterium
Lineage: Bacteria
Description: contains 16S-23S intergenic spacer region
Source: RNAcentral
UCCUUGUUUCCAAGGCAGUCCCACUAAAGUGCUCAACUAAAUGUAGCAACUAGUGGCAGGGGUUGCGCUCGUUAAAGGACUUAACCCAACAUCUCACGACACGAGCUGACGACAGCCAUGCAGCACCUGUUAAAGUGUCUAGGUUUCCCUAGAAGACGCUAUCUCUAGCGCUGUCACUAAAAUGUCAAGCCUGGGUAAGGUUACUCGCGUAGUGUCGAAUUAAACCACAUGUUCCACCGCUUGUGCGGACCCCCGUCAAUUUCUUUGAGUUUUAAUCUUGCGAUCGUACUACUCAGGCGGAUCACUUAACGCGUUAGCUUCGACACUGAUUUUCCGAAGAAAGCCAACAUCUAGUGAUCAUCGUUUACAGCGUGGACUAC